UCCCUGAUGUUAGCGGCGGACGGGUGAGUAACACGUGGGUAACCUGCCUGUAAGACUGGGAUAACUCCGGGAAACCGGGGCUAAUACCGGAUGGUUGUUUGAACCGCAUGGUUCAGACAUAAAAGGUGGCUUCGGCUACCACUUACAGAUGGACCCGCGGCGCAUUAGCUAGUUGGUGAGGUAACGGCUCACCAAGGCGACGAUGCGUAGCCGACCUGAGAGGGUGAUCGGCCACACUGGGACUGAGACACGGCCCAGACUCCUACGGGAGGCAGCAGUAGGGAAUCUUCCGCAAUGGACGAAAGUCUGACGGAGCAACGCCGCGUGAGUGAUGAAGGUUUUCGGAUCGUAAAGCUCUGUUGUUAGGGAAGAACAAGUGCCGUUCAAAUAGGGCGGCACCUUGACGGUACCUAACCAGAAAGCCACGGCUAACUACGUGCCAGCAGCCGCGGUAAUACGUAGGUGGCAAGCGUUGUCCGGAAUUAUUGGGCGUAAAGGGCUCGCAGGCGGUUUCUUAAGUCUGAUGUGAAAGCCCCCGGCUCAACCGGGGAGGGUCAUUGGAAACUGGGGAACUUGAGUGCAGAAGAGGAGAGUGGAAUUCCACGUGUAGCGGUGAAAUGCGUAGAGAUGUGGAGGAACACC
Molecule: ribosomal RNA, 642 nt
Filed under: Bacillus amyloliquefaciens
Lineage: Bacteria; Bacillati; Bacillota; Bacilli; Caryophanales; Bacillaceae
Description: bacterial SSU rRNA
Rfam family: Bacterial small subunit ribosomal RNA
Source: RNAcentral